GGUGAGGAGCAGGUUUGCUUGGUCUGCACAGCUCUGCCUGGAGGGUCAGCACAGAAAUACCCAGCUCUACAGGCAGAGGACCGAGAAGCACUGCAGCGAGAGCUUUAAAGACAGGCUGGAAACAGCCUCAGGUGGACUCUAGCAGAAGAGAAGGCAGAAUCCCCACCACUACCAUCACCACCCUGGAGAAAGAAGCAGAGGCCCCACCAUCAGCAUCAUUCUGCUUGGAAGUGAAGGACUUAGGAGCCAGGAUGCCUGCAGUCCUCCGGGCAAUGGAGGGGACUUCUUGACUGAAACAACCUUCUGGAGGGAAGAAGAAAAAAAGGAGAGGAGCGGCUCAAACUUUGAAUCAACAGCAAACAAGUCUGAUGGAGGAUUGGUAAGAAGCUGUUUAGGAGCAUCAGCUAAUAGAUUGUGUGGCAGUACAGAAGGAUGCUGCUCAUACCGUUGUGAUCUGUUACCAUCAUCAACAAGUCCCCUGGGUGUGAGUGAUCUGCCUUGGUUACCUAAGAUAAUUAUUAACAGAUCUUUGCUCUUUUUGUCUUCCCUAGGAAGCACAGAAGAAUAAGUAGCAUGUCCAAAGUCUGGAUGUUAUUAACUGUGUUGCUUAGUGUUUUGUUUUCUGCUGUUCUUUUGCUUUCUUAUCAUUUGUACAUAUGUGAAGGGGAAAAUAGAAACUUUUUUACUUGUUGGGAUUUUUAAGGUCAGUUGCUGAAGUUCAAACGAGAAGAAAACUGUAAGCAAACUGUGGUGACAAGGGAAAAAAUUAUCCACUUUAAAGAGGUCACCACCUCCAAACAUCCUCUCUUGAUGAGGAUGGACAUACCCUCCUCUUAUCAAUAGUGAUGCUUUUAUGUUAUCAAUUCUGUUAUCAGUCUUUUCUGUUAUCAAUAGUGAUUCAUCAGCAAUUCAUCCUGAUGAUCACUGUUACCAGUGGUGAUCACUUGCACAUGAUGCAGUGCCUGUACAUGCAACACAGCAAACUGGGACUCUGGAUCUGCAAAACAGGGCAGUUUGAGUACUCUCAGAAGCAAAGGCGAACAAAUGAAGUGCAAAGAUGUCUGGUCCAUUAGCUUUUCUGUACAGUAGAUAUUCUCUACAAAUAGAAAACUGUUGUAUUUUUAAGGUAUCUAUUGUUAGUGCAGCUUUGCAAUGCUAAGGCAAAUGUGUAGUGCAGCUUUGAGUACAAUUUAGAGCACCUGUGUAUAAAUUCAUAGUUUUGGGAUGAGCAGAAAACUGAAGGUCCCCAGUGAUGGAGAUAUCAAGAUAGAACAUACUCAUAUGAUAUGUAAUCCUCUCUAUUGGUCUGAUGAGGUGGUUUGUUUCAUGAUGGAGGAGAGAAUGAAGUGAUUUUAGAAACUUACCACAGGAUGGUCCUGGAGAUGAGAGGUGUCUGCCAGCGAGGAUGGGCAGCCCAGCAAGAUGGAGUGCUCCCAGCUGCACCCCUGGAAGGACACCAGCAAGCAGGAGGCACCGAAACGUGCAGAUUGCACACUGAAAAAAGAUCAGUUUUCAGUCACAUUAGAACAGAGUUUAGCCAGAUGUGAAUAUGAAGUGUCUCCUUUGCUUUGGGCCUGUAACCCAGGGUGGGGUCCAGCUGUGUUUGUGUGCAGACCCUGCACCUCUGUCUGUCUUAUAAUGUAUGUGCAUGGAGUGUAACCUUUAAAGUAUGGUUUGAAUUACACAACACUUUCAGGAGAGACACUAAAACCACUAGAAACCUUAAAACUGUAUACUAAACAAAACCUAGUAACAUUUGGUUUAGGUUUUGAGCAGUUGCUGCAAACAACAGAGCAUCCCCUUGCAACUUUUGUAGUUCCACAGGCAGUAAAACAAGCCACCAAAGCAAGGUUUGCAGUAGGUGAGCAAGUUGCUCUUACUCCAACAUCAGUAAAAGGUGCUGAGCAUCAUUCUUGGUGUCAAUCCCUCUCAACAG
Long non-coding RNA from Pogoniulus pusillus (Red-fronted tinkerbird), 1936 nucleotides. RefSeq lists it as uncharacterized. The transcript has 3 exons. The record is from RefSeq and is a predicted model, not a curated record. NCBI's taxonomy places the organism in Eukaryota, Metazoa, Chordata, Aves, Piciformes, Lybiidae.